Molecule: transfer-messenger RNA, 405 nt
Filed under: Cyclobacteriaceae
Lineage: Bacteria; Pseudomonadati; Bacteroidota; Cytophagia; Cytophagales
Also listed under: 1 other name
Description: JAAUQL01 sp012033595 Standard tmRNA
Rfam family: transfer-messenger RNA
About the family: Bacterial tmRNA, also known as 10Sa RNA or SsrA, is named for its dual tRNA and mRNA-like properties. Its role is to liberate the mRNA from a stalled ribosome.
Source: RNAcentral
GGGGCCGACUGGAUUUGACAGUAGGCGAUAAUGUUGUAUCAGCAUGUCAGGUGGAGAAUGUACAUCUGUGAUAAAUUCAUUCGAACAAUAAUUGGCGAAGAUUCUUACGCCAUGGCUGCUUAAUUUUAACUCAUAGUUAAAAUUCAGGCUUAAAAGGUUCACUGAUAAGAUUGGUGCCUGGCCACAUCCUGCCGGUUUUCGUUUUGUCGAACCGGAUUUUGGGUGUCGAAAGACAAAACUAGCUGGCGACCACGUUGCGGGUCAAAGGCGAAACACUCAGCAACUUUGGGGUAAGGUAGGUUGUUGCCGACCGGCUUUGCUCCGAGAUCAAACUGGCAACUAAACAUGUAGAAGAUACAUAUUUACCCUAUCUGGACCGGGGUUCGAAUCCCCGCGGCUCCACUU